This 606-nucleotide ribosomal RNA is filed under the name Peradon bidens. RNAcentral describes it as "partial 28S ribosomal RNA". The record is from RNAcentral. Lineage: Eukaryota; Metazoa; Arthropoda; Insecta; Diptera; Syrphidae.
AGUACGUGAAACUGCUUAGAGGUUAAGCCUGAUGAACCUGAAUAUCCAUUAAUGGAAAAUUCAUCACUAAUUAUAUAAUAUAAUAUAUUAAUAUUAUAAAAAUGGUGUGCAUUUUUUCCAUAAAGGACAUUGUAAUUGGUUAAUAAAUUAAAAGUUUAUCAUAAAAUUCAUUAUAAUAGAUUAUUCUAAUUAGAUUUUUUUUUUUAAAUUUAAUAUUGAAUAAAUUUUAUGAAUUUGAUAAACUGUUGACCAAUUUAUAUAUAAUAAUGUUAAAAAAAAUUUCUUUGAAAUUUUUACAAUAAUUAUUUAUAUAUAUUCUUUGAAUAUUAUAUUUAAUUUAUUGUAUACAUUUUUAUGAUUUACAAUGCUAUAAAUUCAGGAUACCUUCGGGACCCGUCUUGAAACACGGACCAAGGAGUCUAACAUAUGUGCAAGUCGUUGAGUAAUUUAAAUAAAACUCAAAGGCAUAAUUAACUUAACUGAUAUAAUAUAUUAUAUUAAUGGGAUUAAUUUAUAUGAAUAUUUUUAUAUAUUUUAUAAAUUCAAUCCCAGGGCGUUCUAUAUAGUUAUGCAUAAUAAUAUUUAUAUUAUUUAUGUCUCUAACUG